GAUGACCGCUGGCGGCGUGCCUAAUACAUGCAAGUCGAGCGAAGCGGGGACGGGUGAGUAACACGUGGAUAACCUCCUAUAAGACUGGGAUAAAUUCGGGAAACCGGAGCUAAACCGGAUACUUAUCGAUGGAUCCGCGUUGCAUUAGCUAGUUGGUAAGGUAACGGCUUACCAAGGCAACGAUGCCUAGCCGACCUGAGAGGGUGAGAGGAAAAACUGGAACUGAGACAAGGUGCAGAAUAGGAAGAGAGGCAGGAGGAGGAAAACGGACGCAAUGGGCGAAAGCCUGACGGGGCAACGCCGCGUUAGUGAUGAAGGGCUGCGGAUAGUAAAACUCUGGGAUUAGGGAAGCGGUACCUAAUCAGAAAGCCACGGCUAACUACGUGCCAGCCGCCGCGGUAAUUC
RNAcentral lists this ribosomal RNA (405 nucleotides) under uncultured bacterium. RNAcentral describes it as "partial 16S ribosomal RNA". It matches the Rfam family "Bacterial small subunit ribosomal RNA", at positions 28 to 526 of the family's 1533-position model. The record is from RNAcentral.